This 21-nucleotide microRNA is filed under the name Oryza sativa (Asian cultivated rice). RNAcentral describes it as "osa-miR6245b-3p". The record is from miRBase by way of RNAcentral. Lineage: Eukaryota; Viridiplantae; Streptophyta; Magnoliopsida; Poales; Poaceae.
GUAUAGGUGUCGGUUCUAUUA